This 71-nucleotide transfer RNA is filed under the name Capra hircus (goat). It matches the Rfam family "tRNA". Rfam says of the family: Transfer RNA (tRNA) molecules are approximately 80 nucleotides in length. Their secondary structure includes four short double-helical elements and three loops (D, anti-codon, and T loops). Further hydrogen bonds mediate the characteristic L-shaped molecular structure. tRNAs have two regions of fundamental functional importance: the anti-codon, which is responsible for specific mRNA codon recognition, and the 3' end, to which the tRNAs corresponding amino acid is attached (by aminoacyl-tRNA synthetases). tRNAs cope with the degeneracy of the genetic code in two manners: having more than one tRNA (with a specific anti-codon) for a particular amino acid; and 'wobble' base-pairing, i.e. permitting non-standard base-pairing at the 3rd anti-codon position. Lineage: Eukaryota; Metazoa; Chordata; Mammalia; Artiodactyla; Bovidae. The record is from Rfam by way of RNAcentral. RNAcentral also lists the same sequence under 1 other name.
UCCUGGUCACUCAGAUGGUAAAGAACCUGCUUGUGAUGCAGGAGACCCAGGUUCGAUCCCUGAGUCAGGAA